Long non-coding RNA from Vulpes vulpes (red fox), 2026 nucleotides. Lineage: Eukaryota; Metazoa; Chordata; Mammalia; Carnivora; Canidae. The record is from Ensembl.
GGACCGCGCCCCCCCUUACCCCCCUCACCCCCCUCAUUCAAGCCCCAGGCCCCUUCCACCUGCGCAGAGACACCGGGCCCUGAGCGCCCUUGGGCCAGGCAGAGGCCGGGUGGGGCAGGGGGCCUGGGGCUGCGCUCCCUUCCCCGUCCACCUCCUGGGAGCUUGCUGCCUGGCGUCCUGCGUCUACUCCUGAGUGUUGACUGCGCCGACCUAGCACUUGAAUAGGUCCGGGUGGCGGGAGUUAAGACUUAGGAAGACUUAGCUGGGUCGCUGUGGCACCCAUCCUUGCACCUGUGCCUCUGGCGCGCCUCCUGGCCGGGGUCGAAUGCUGGCAAGUGUGCUUUCCACUCCCCUGUGUUGCUUGGCGUCGGAGCUGGGUGCCCCUUGCUUUGUGAUACGUGGUCACGUUCUAGCUCUAGGAGCCCUGCAGGUUAAAUCAGGACGUUCACAGCAGUGACUUUAAUGGGCUUAUGGAAAGUGUUUAAAGCUCAGUUCCCCAGAGGACGGGUGGGGCCUGUUGGGACCCCUUCUCAGGUGCGCCUGUAUGCUUACCUGCACUUACCAGGCCCUGCCUCUCCACUGCGAAACCACCCCCAGCCCAGUGAUGUGGACCAUCUUGGAAAGAUGAGGAGUUCUCCGAAGUUGAAAAGAGAUGCAAGACUUUAUCGAAACCAAAGUCCUUUAGGGAACAGUGAACCGGGCAGGCCUGGCCACGAGCUCUGGGGCAGAGUGGCCCCCGUACUGCGCUGGGGUUCGGCGUCUCCUGACUGCUGCGGCGCGAGCAAGGAGGCUGCCCCCCCGGCCCGCCUGCCUGUCCCCCCGCAAACCCGUGCAUGGACACCCGGCCAGGGUGUGGUGUUGUCACAGGACUGUUCGCGGCAUUUGCUCCCGUGCCGUCCCUCAGCAUCUGCACCAGCACUGGAUAAAGCAGUGGCUGGAAGGGCUCAAGGACAGUCGCUCCCAGCGUCGCGCAAGAGGAAGAUGGCCCUGGGCUCCGUCCCAGCUGCGCCGCUCGCGGCUGUGUGACAGUGAACGCGCCCCCUGACCUCUGCAAAGUCCACGCUCUCAUCUGUACGACGGACGAUCCAUCACCCCCCUGAGCUCCUGCGGGCAGGUGGCGUCACGGGCACGGAGGACGGGUACCCGCACUGCGAUCGUAGGGAGCCCGGGGCUUAACACUCAGCGCCCGGGAACGUCGCUGGCACCGGGCAGGGGGCACACCCGUAGCGCCCAUGCUCGGGCCCCGCAUGCCUGCCACGCCAGCACCAACUGGAGCCCCACGCCCGCUCACCUGGCCUCACCCCAGCCCGAUUCUGCAGGCGUCAUCAUCACCCCCGAUUUCUAAGGGAAAAUAGCGAGGCUUAAUGAGAUCGAGCACCUUGGCCGAGAGCGCGGACACCGGCCCCAGGCCCCGCCGCAGUCCGUGUGGCUCUGAAGGGCACGUUACACCGCUGGGGAUGGCUCUGGUGCGUCACCUCCCGCACUGGGUGAGCACGACCCCACGGACUCCCGCCUUGGCCGAGGUAGGGCGGCGUCUGUCCCAUUCCUGCCCUGCACAUUCAACGACACUCACGGGACUGGGUUAACAGACGCGGCAUAAAUUCAGCGGUCAAGGGGACCACGUCCGCCAGUGGGUACGAGGGAUGGAGCGUGUGCCCGGGAAUCCAUGUGGUGAAGACCCGAGCCCUCACGAUGAGGCUACGAGACAGGGCCGUGGGCCGCGGUGUCCUUACGAGCCCCAAGCUCCGGCCACUUCCACGGCACCGGGUGUUCAGCUGAGCGGCCGUGCCAGCCCCGCGCCCGCAGCCCCCCGAGCGGUGGACGCACCUGACAGUCCUCCGGGAGCCCCCUGUCUGUGCUCCCUCGGCCACACAGCGCCAGCUGCUGAGACACUGAGCGACAGCGCGACAGUGAUGCUCCCUCGGAUUUGUACUGUCACGUGAAAGGAAAACCACGACAAGUAAACCUCUGCUUCUUUACCCCUCGGGGAGGUCCCUUCAUAACCGAUCACACCAGCAACCAAGUG